RNAcentral lists this ribosomal RNA (1235 nucleotides) under metagenome. RNAcentral's name for it is "bacterial SSU rRNA". It matches the Rfam family "Bacterial small subunit ribosomal RNA", at positions 114 to 1353 of the family's 1533-position model. The record is from RNAcentral.
CACGUGUGCAACCAACCCCGUACCGGGAGAUAACCCGCGGAAACGUGGACUAACAUCCCAUGACACUCGAGGGCCGCAUGGCUCUAGAUUUAAAAUUCCGGUGGUACGGGACGGGCACGCGCGACAUUAGGUAGUUGGCGGGGUAACGGCCCACCAAGCCGACGAUGUCUAGGGGUUCUGAGAGGAAGGUCCCCCACACUGGAACUGAGACACGGUCCAGACUCCUACGGGAGGCAGCAGUGAGGAAUAUUGGUCAAUGGGCGAGAGCCUGAACCAGCCAAGUCGCGUGAGGGAAGAAUGGUCUAUGGCCUGUAAACCUCUUUUGUCAGGGAAGAAUAAGGAUGACGAGUCAUUCGAUGCCAGUACUUGACGAAUAAGCAUCGGCUAACUCCGUGCCAGCAGCCGCGGUAAUACGGGGGAUGCGAGCGUUAUCCGGAUUUAUUGGGUUUAAAGGGCGCGUAGGCGGGACGUCAAGUCAGCGGUAAAAGACUGCAGCUAAACUGUAGCACGCCGUUGAAACUGGCGCCCUGGAGACGAGACGAGGGAGGCGGAACAAGUGAAGUAGCGGUGAAAUGCAUAGAUAUCACUUGGAACCCCGAUAGCGAAGGCAGCUUCCCAGGCUCGUUCUGACGCUGAUGCGCGAGAGCGUGGGUAGCGAACAGGAUUAGAUACCCUGGUAGUCCACGCCGUAAACGAUGCUCACUGGAUCUUGGCGAUACACGGCCAGGGUUCAAGCGAAAGUAUUAAGUGAGCCACCUGGGGAGUACGUCGGCAACGAUGAAACUCAAAGGAAUUGACGGGGGCCCGCACAAGCGGAGGAACAUGUGGUUUAAUUCGAUGAUACGCGAGGAACCUUACCCGGGUUUAAAUGUAGAUUGCAUGAGGUGGAAACACUUCUUCCCUUCGGGGCUAUUUACAAGGUGCUGCAUGGUUGUCGUCAGCUCGUGCCGUGAGGUGUCGGGUUAAGUCCCAUAACGAGCGCAACCCCUAUCGCCAGUUGCCAUCGGUUCAAGCCGGGCACUCUGUCGAGACUGCCACCGUAAGGUGCGAGGAAGGCGGGGAUGACGUCAAAUCAGCACGGCCCUUACACCCGGGGCGACACACGUGUUACAAUGGCCGGUACAGAGGGCAGCCACGGGGUGACCCGGAGCGAAUCUCUAAAGCCGGUCGUAGUUCGGACUGGAGUCUGCAACCCGACUCCACGAAGUUGGAUUCGCUAGUAAUCGCGCAUCAGC